This 75-nucleotide non-coding RNA is filed under the name Peptostreptococcus anaerobius VPI 4330 = DSM 2949. RNAcentral's name for it is "RAGATH-18 RNA". It matches the Rfam family "RAGATH-18 RNA". From Rfam's summary of the family: Actinobacteria, Firmicutes, Fusobacteria, Thermotogae (1 example). Lineage: Bacteria; Bacillati; Bacillota; Clostridia; Peptostreptococcales; Peptostreptococcaceae. The record is from Rfam by way of RNAcentral. RNAcentral also lists the same sequence under 2 other names.
UCUAUGGAGAGUACAAGAACUUGUGAGUAGUAUCUGGAUUUGUUCAGUAUGAAAGCAUGCUCGAUGAAGUAGGAA